Molecule: long non-coding RNA, 675 nt
Organism: Gasterosteus aculeatus aculeatus (three-spined stickleback)
Lineage: Eukaryota; Metazoa; Chordata; Actinopteri; Perciformes; Gasterosteidae
Source: Ensembl
CGACACGGAGAUGGAAACACGGUCGGUGGAGCCGCGCAGACGAUUACGCGGAAAGUUUCACGUGAUGGGACUUUUCCGGAAUCACCUACCGGCUUCCGGGAAGAUUUUCCGCCCGUCCGGCUGUGCGGACUCAAGGAGAGAAAGGUAACGCCACGGUGCCGAGCCAAAUUGUGUAUUAAAUUGCUUAAAAUACAUCAUGUUACGCCAAGUUUCGAAGAGACUCGGGAAGGACUGCGGCGACUACGUUUCGCCUCUUCGGUCCGGAGAGACACGCUGCCGGGGCGGACUUUCUUCACUGCUUUCCGCCGUGCCUGCUUCUGUUUUCGGGGAUUAGCCGGCUAGCUUGCUGCUAGCAUUCCGUGCUAACGCGACAAGUGUUCCAUGACAAACAUCUGGGUGUUUUACCAAUGAGCACCGAGGACGUCGUUUGAUGGUGUAGGUUAUGGGGGGUGGGCAGUUCCACUCCCAUGAUGCUUCAGCUGCAGGCUGAUGUUUAGUGCUGCAGAAAUGUGACCAUAGCUGAGCAGGAAAAAGCAUUCCUCUGUGUAACCACACUUAGGACCUUUAAAAAGAUUCAUUAAUAUCUGCACACCGGUCCACGUCCGCCUCCCCAUGCAGAACUCCGUGAAAUGAAUAAAGCACCACAGCCUCUAACAGGACCCCCCUCCAACCCCC